RNAcentral lists this ribosomal RNA (427 nucleotides) under uncultured beta proteobacterium. RNAcentral describes it as "bacterial SSU rRNA". It matches the Rfam family "Bacterial small subunit ribosomal RNA", at positions 355 to 774 of the family's 1533-position model. The record is from RNAcentral. Lineage: Bacteria; Pseudomonadati; Pseudomonadota; Betaproteobacteria.
UGGGGAAUUUUGGACAAUGGGCGAAAGCCUGAUCCAGCCAUGCCGCGUGAGUGAAGAAGGCCUUCGGGUUGUAAAGCUCUUUUAGUCGGAAAGAAAGAGUUGCAAUGAAUAAUUGUGAUUUAUGACGGUACCGACAGAAAAAGCACCGGCUAACUACGUGCCAGCAGCCGCGGUAAUACGUAGGGUGCGAGCGUUAAUCGGAAUUACUGGGCGUAAAGGGUGCGCAGGCGGUUUUGUAAGUCAGAUGUGAAACCCCCGGGCUUAGCCUGGGAAUUGCGUUUGAAACUGCAAGACUAGAGUGCAGCAGAGGGGAGUGGAAUUCCAUGUGUAGCAGUGAAAUGCGUAGAGAUGUGGAAGAACACCGAUGGCGAAGGCAGCUCCCUGGGUUGACACUGACGCUCAUGCACGAAAGCGUGGGGAGCAAACA